GCCGGAGCGGCGGGACGGUCUUACGCGGCAGACUCAAAAUCUGCUGGGCGAAAGCCCAUGAGGGUUCGAAUCCCUCCUCCGGCA
RNAcentral lists this transfer RNA (84 nucleotides) under Chloroflexota bacterium. RNAcentral's name for it is "Chloroflexi bacterium tRNA-Leu". It matches the Rfam family "tRNA". From Rfam's summary of the family: Transfer RNA (tRNA) molecules are approximately 80 nucleotides in length. Their secondary structure includes four short double-helical elements and three loops (D, anti-codon, and T loops). Further hydrogen bonds mediate the characteristic L-shaped molecular structure. tRNAs have two regions of fundamental functional importance: the anti-codon, which is responsible for specific mRNA codon recognition, and the 3' end, to which the tRNAs corresponding amino acid is attached (by aminoacyl-tRNA synthetases). tRNAs cope with the degeneracy of the genetic code in two manners: having more than one tRNA (with a specific anti-codon) for a particular amino acid; and 'wobble' base-pairing, i.e. permitting non-standard base-pairing at the 3rd anti-codon position. RNAcentral also lists the same sequence under 2 other names. Lineage: Bacteria; Bacillati; Chloroflexota. The record is from RNAcentral.